AGACACCAAAGCAGAGUAAUGGGAAACAUCAGUCUUAGGGAGAGGAUGUCCACUCCUGUGCUGAGGACAGCUGAAAAAGCAGCAGCAUUUGAGAUACCCAAACUGCCAGGAUGGUGAUUGCAAGACAGUUUUAUGGAUAUCGAGUUGAUCUGGCUUAAAAUACCAGCUGUGAGACACAUGAGGGAAAUUUCCUUGAGACCUGUUUCUAGCCCCCUAGGAAUCCACCCUUUGAUUGACUCAACUUCCUGGCUUGUGUCUAAGAAUUUGGCCUCAACAGCCAGUUCAGAGAACAGUGCUGUAUGAGGUGGUAUAACAUUCUGAAGUGCCUUGGGUUUCCUUGAUGGAGCCAUGAUGAACCAUGUUGCCAUCACAGUGGCCAAAAACCUGUUUAUCAUCUCAGCGAAUAGGAACAAGCUGAACAGACUUCUUGCUUUCAGUAUGGGUGCCCUGGUGAUGAACAGAGUUAAGAAACACAAUCUAGAACUAAGAAUGAAGGGACCUAGAUCAGUGGCAGUCCAAGAUAAAAGGGCAUACUGAAGAAAAGAAGCUGGCAUAGGCUAGACAUGGUACUCCACUCACUUGAGAGGUAGAAGAGGAAGACCAGGUGUUCAAGGACAACUUUGUGUAUAUAUUGAAAGGCGAUGGAAGAGCCUGACUAUCAAUCAACUAAGCACCAACCAAACAUGGGUUCAAAUCUUGUGAAUAACCCUUUCAAGCUGAUGGCUUACUGUUCACAUUUCUUGUGUUUUCACAAGGUACAAUUGUUUUAGUUUUAGUUUUCCUUGGACAACGCUAACUGGAUUUAGUGGAUUGUAUAUACAAAGAAGGAAGAGGAGGAGGAGAAAUAAGGAAACAUGAAGUUGAAUGAGGGAUGUGUUGGAGGUUACAGGAGGAGUUGAAAGAGGAAACUGAUAUGCUU
Molecule: long non-coding RNA, 919 nt
Filed under: Cricetulus griseus (Chinese hamster)
Lineage: Eukaryota; Metazoa; Chordata; Mammalia; Rodentia; Cricetidae
Description: lncRNA (ENSCGRG00015039040.1)
Source: RNAcentral